Molecule: ribosomal RNA, 766 nt
Filed under: Austrochloritis sp. NE9
Lineage: Eukaryota; Metazoa; Mollusca; Gastropoda; Stylommatophora; Camaenidae
Description: partial large subunit ribosomal RNA
Source: RNAcentral
UUAACUAAAAUAUAUAAUAUUAUUUAACACGAAGUUGGGGGAGCUAAUUAUUAUAUAUUUGUAGAUAUCAAGAUGUUGCAUAAUUAAGUAAAUAAUAAUUUGGAGUGAUAGGCUUCUCACAUCCAACGAUAACUUGAUAGUUAAGAAAGGUAUUAGUACUUAGGCAGUCUUUAAAUGAUAAGGUUUAAAGAAAUUAACAAAUAAUUAUAAUUAAUAAAUAUUUUGUUUAGCCACUUAUAUAAUAACAUAAAAAUAUAAUUUUAUUUAUUUUGUUUAAUAUAUUAACUAAUAUUCUAAUAAUAAAAAAUAUUAAAAAUGUUGAUAUUAGUAUCUUAAAGUUGUAAAUGAGGAACUCGGCAAUAUAUCCUUCAACUGUUUAUCAAAAACGUAGCCAUAUGAAUUAAUAUAUGGUGUCUUCUGCUCAAUGAGUAUUAAAUAGCCGCAGUACCUUGACUGUGCUAAGGUAGCGUAAUCAAUUGACUUUUAAUUGAAGUCCAGUAUGAAAGAAAUUAUGGAGGAUUACUUUCUUAUUAACAAUAAGGGAACUUACUUAAGAAGUGCAAAUUCUUCUUUUAAAAUAAUAGACGAGAAGACCCUAGAAAUUUUAAAGAAAUAUCUUUUUGUUGGGGCAACAAAGUAGUACUAUAAAAUCUACUUUAAUGACAAGAAAGAUUUAUUUUGAAAGUUUAAAUUACUCUAGGGAUAACAGCAUAAUUUAUUAGAGUUUGUGACCUCGAUGUUGGAUUAGGGAAUCUACGUUUAAAAG